CCCCAGACUCCUACGGGAGGCAGCAGUGGGGGAUAUUGCACAAUGGGGGAAACCCUGAUGCAGCGACGCCGCGUGAGUGAAGAAGUAUUUCGGUAUGUAAAGCUCUAUCAGCAGGGAAGAAAAUGACAGUACCUGACCAAGAAGCCCCGGCUAACUACGUGCCAGCAGCCGCGGUAAUACGUAGGGGGCAAGCGUUAUCCGGAUUUACUGGGUGUAAAGGGAGCGUAGACGGCAGUGCAAGUCCGGAGUGAAAGCCCGGGGCUCAACCCUGGGACUGCUCUGGAAACUGUAAAGCUGGAGUGCGGGAGGGGCAGGCGGAAUUCCUGGUGUAGCGGUGAAAUGCGUAGAUAUCAGGAGGAACACCGGCGGCGAAGGCGGCCUGCUGGACCGUAACUGACGUUGAGGCUCGAAAGCGUGGGGAGCAAACAGGAUUAGAUACCCCUGUA
RNAcentral lists this ribosomal RNA (446 nucleotides) under uncultured bacterium. RNAcentral's name for it is "bacterial SSU rRNA". It matches the Rfam family "Bacterial small subunit ribosomal RNA", at positions 329 to 792 of the family's 1533-position model. The record is from RNAcentral.